This 492-nucleotide ribosomal RNA is filed under the name uncultured bacterium. RNAcentral describes it as "partial 16S ribosomal RNA". It matches the Rfam family "Bacterial small subunit ribosomal RNA", at positions 29 to 507 of the family's 1533-position model. The record is from RNAcentral.
AGUGAACGCUGGCGGUAGGCCUAACACAUGCAAGUCGAACGGACGCACAGUAAGCGCUUGCCCUUAAGGGUGGCGAGUGGCGGGCGGGUGAGGCAUACAUCGGAAUCUACUAUUACGGGGGGGAUAACGGAGAGAAACAUACAAUAAUAGCGAAUACGAUCAACGGGUGGAUGCAAGGGAUAUUCGGACCUUGGGCGAUUGAAUGAGACGAUGUCGGAUUAGCUAGUUGGCGGGGUAACGGCACACCAAGGCGACGAACCGUAGCUGGUCUGAGAGGAUGAUCAGCCACACUGGAACUGAGACACGGUCCAGACUCCUACGGGAGGCAGCAGUGGGGAAUAUUGCACAAUGGGCGCAAGCCUGAUCCAGCCAUACCGCGUGGGUGAUGAAGGCCUUCGGGUUGUAAAGCCCUUUUAUUGGGAAAGAAAAGCAGCAUGUUUAUCCCCCGCUGUUCUGACGGUACCCAAUGAAUAAGCACCGGCUAACUUCGUG